Molecule: ribosomal RNA, 440 nt
Filed under: uncultured bacterium
Lineage: Bacteria
Description: partial 16S ribosomal RNA
Rfam family: Bacterial small subunit ribosomal RNA
Source: RNAcentral
CCUACGGGGGGCAGCAGUAGGGAAUAUUGCUCAAUGGGGGAAACCCUGAAGCAGCAACGCAGCGUGGAGGAUGAAGGUUUUCGGAUUGUAAACUCCUUUUGUUAGAGAAGAUAAUGACGGUAUCUAACGAAUAAGCACCGGCUAACUCCGUGCCAGCAGCCGCGGUAAUACGGAGGGUGCAAGCGUUACUCGGAAUCACUGGGCGUAAAGAGCGCGUAGGCGGGAUAGCAAGUCAGAUGUGAAAUCCUAUGGCUUAACCAUAGAACUGCAGUUGAAACUGUUAGUCUAGAGUAUGGGAGAGGUAGGUGGAAUUCUUGGUGUAGGGGUAAAAUGCGUAGAGAUCAAGAGGAAUACUCAUUGCGAAGGCGACCUGCUAGAACAUAACUGACGCUGAUGCGCGAAAGCGUGGGGAGCAAACAGGAUUAGAUACCCCUGUAGUC